RNAcentral lists this long non-coding RNA (2172 nucleotides) under Strigops habroptila (Kakapo). Its description in RNAcentral is "lncRNA (ENSSHBG00005001216.1)". Lineage: Eukaryota; Metazoa; Chordata; Aves; Psittaciformes; Psittacidae. The record is from RNAcentral.
UUUUUUUUUUUUUACUUUAUGAAGAAAACCUUUGGCCAUGAAAGAUCUUUUUAGCCAUUUCCACCUAUUUUAAAGAGAGAAAGGCUUUUCACUCAUCCCUUACCCCUCCAAUCCUUUCCAUGCCACCUUUACAAAGAGGUACUUUCUAGAUUCUUUGUCUUUACAAUUUCCUUUUCCUUCAGUCAUACCAUACACCCCGGGUCCCAAUCCUACACCCAGGCUCACAAUGAACUUUCUGUUCGUGGGUGCAUGUGUCUCUGUCUCUCACUUGAGUGAUGCCAGCUCAGCAUGGCACUGCAGCAGAGCCAUAGAUCAUCCUGUCCAAUGUCAAUCCUUCUCCCUGAAGUUUGCCCGACUGCUGUUGAUGGAAGGAUUGAACGACUUCUCUUUGGACAUUAUUUGCUCUGUGGUUCAAACGGAGGCUUCUGCUGGUGAGCCUGGAUGAGUAAAGACUGGUCCUCAGAGAGGUGAGUAUUUUCUCAGCAACAAGGUCAGCAAAAAGGAAGGAAAUCCAAAAUUCUUGUAGAUGUAAAUAGAUGUUUAAAAACUGACUGUGACUUUUCUCUGAGCAACGUUGAAACCUUUGCAAGUACACAGAACUACAAAUAUUUCCUGUUCUACAACCCCAGCAAAAUGCUAAUACUCAGAUUUUUCUCCAGCAAGCACUACACCAAUCUGCAGCCUGACACUGCAGCCUGAUCAGAGGAAGGCAGCAGUGCCUGUAACGUCCAUGACAGUCACACUACACUGUGCCCUGAAGUCCCACAGAGACCCCAUCCCUUCCCAGCUGCCCCACUGUUACCCCACACUAACCACCACUUUCCAGCUAAAGGUUAAUUACUCCAGGGGACGUUUCCAUCCAAGCUGUUGCCCGCAGGUUGCAAUCCCUGCCUGAGUGCUAUUUUUAGCCCAGCUCCUUCGUUGCUAUUGAUCCCAGUCACCCUCUGUUAAUUAGAUAGACACAACACACACAGCAUUUGCAACUCAUUUAUCAAUUCCGUUCAGCACCUCCCUCCCCUGAGAUGUAAUUUGGAGCCCUCCUUGAAUCACGAUAUUGAUCCUUCCCAGCAACUUUGCUAUAGGAUUCUCUGUGUUGCAAACUAUUUAUAGAUUCUUCUUCUUCUCCUGCUUUCCCUCGGGGAAUCAGAAAUGGGCAACGGUAAUCAGACUUCUAUUUUUAAGGAGGUGAUCGAAACCAGAUAUUUCCUCUUUUCUCCUUCUUUUCCCCUCCUUUCCCCUGUUGCUGUUACGUACAGGCUUCCCUUGGCAGGCUUCCCUUCCUGCUCCAUGCGGUGCCGUAAUGAUUCUGGUAAUGUUCAGGUGAUGUGAUGCAGAAUUUGCCAUGGGUGAAAUCUUGUUUGCUGAAUUAACUAAAUUAACUCCUCUUCCUCCCUGUGUCCAAGAGUUUCACAAAGGGCUUUGUGACCUGUUUUGUCUCCUCAGCCUGAGGCACACCUUUCAGAGGGCUUCAGUCUCGGAGACUGCCUUCUCAGCCCACGGAUUCGGUCCAUUUGCAAUGCACUGCAAAUCUCGUCGUAUCUCAGGAAGGACAUCCAAAGGCCUUGGACAAUGUGUAGUCAGGAGUGAGAUAGAUGGAGUUGCUUUUAAGGAUGGAGGAUGACAGUAGCAAGCCCCGGGGUUCUAGGAUUUGAGAAAGACCUAAAUGAAGGAACAUCACCUGAGGCUCAAAGAUGUUGAGUAAGGUUGAAAAUCCCACCUCUAACACAGGAGGAGGCCUACAGCUACCAUGGGCAAGGUGACACCAGAAAGAAUAGCCUUGUCUUGGGAUAUACAUGAAAACAGCCCCAGGCUUCUGUGGUAAUAACCGUGGCUGGAAAUCCAGUGGUGAAGUGGGAGAGAGGAGAGCCAGGAGGAGCCGGGCAGGAUGCAAGGGAUGGCCUGAAGCCUGGGGUGCACCAUGGGCAGGGAGCAGCCAUGGGGACUGCAGCCAGGUUGUGGCUCAAGAGACAUGGGGCUGGUGCCUCUGCGCCACUGCGAAUGUGGCACUGUGUGUGGGAACAUGGCUCUCUGUGUGCCUGUGCUGCGGGAGGUUAUGCUGUGGUUGGGGCAGGGGCUGUGUGGUUGUGUGGCAUAGGGGUGGUAUGUGGUGGGUUUGGUGGUAUGUGCUUUGUGGUGGGCUUUCAUGAGUGUGGUGCUGUGGUGUGUUUGGCC